Molecule: ribosomal RNA, 488 nt
Filed under: marine sediment metagenome
Description: LSU rRNA
Rfam family: Bacterial large subunit ribosomal RNA
Source: RNAcentral
AGGGUGUACGGUGGAUGCCUUGGCACCAGAAGGCGAUGAAGGGCGUGGUUAACUGCGAUAAUCCCUGGGGAGCCGUAAGCAGGCUUUGAUCCAGGGGUACCCGAAUGGGGAAACCUACCAUAGCAAACCUAUGGUAUCCUUACCUGAAUAAAAUAGGGUAAGGAGGCAAGACGGGGGGAACUGAAACAUCUAAUUACCCCCAGGAAGAGAAAGUAAUAACGAUUCCCUAAGUAGCGGUGAGCGAAAAGGGAAGAGCCUAAACGGUAAGGAUGUGAUAGUCGGUAGACGUUGUCCUUGCCGGGUCGUGGGACCUGAUAUGAUUCUUCUACCGAAGAAUCGAAGAGUCAAAAAGUCUUUUUCUAGCCGAAAUGACAUUGGAAAAGUCUACCCUAGAUGGUGAUAGUCCAGUAGGCGAAAGGAAGAGACCUCUUUCAUCAGGCACCCGAGUAUCAUGGGAUAAGGGAAGCCCUGUGAGAAUUUAGGAGGAC